RNAcentral lists this long non-coding RNA (3631 nucleotides) under Homo sapiens (human). RNAcentral describes it as "non-protein coding SAP30L-AS1:14". The record is from RNAcentral. Lineage: Eukaryota; Metazoa; Chordata; Mammalia; Primates; Hominidae.
AAAGUAGAGAAAGUGGAAGAGGAAAGAGUUACCCCAGCGAGAACCGGGAACCGGGCUGCAGACUCUCCGGCCCGGGGGAGGGAUGAGUUUCACUCUGGUUGCCCAGGCUGGAGUGCAAUGGCGCGAUCUCGGCUCACCGCAACCUCUGCCUCCCGGAUUCAAGCGAUUCUCCUGCUUCAGCCUCCCGAGUAGCUGGGAUUACAGACCUGGGAAAGCUUCCUCCAGCCCUGAUGCUGGCCUGCAGUAUGGCACUUGACAGCUACUGGUAUUGUGGAUAGAAGCAAAGGCUCUGGACUCAGCAACACUUGGUUUGAAUUCCAGUUCUACCACUUACUAGCUGUGGUGCUGCUGACAACUUAAACUCCAUGAACCUCAGUUUUCUUCAUCUGUAAGGUGGGAUAACAGUACUUCUCUAAUAGGGAUAUUGUGAGGAUCAAAUAUGAUGAUCUAAAGCAGUUAGCACAAUAUCUUGCACAUAGUAAGUGCUUAAUAAGUGGCAGUUAUUAUUUCAUACAUUAUAAGGUGAUACCCCUGAACUUCCAUUGUAUCCAGAUUCAGAUUUCUGCAUGUUAAAGGACACAUCAUAUUGCAAGACGAUAGGGUGGUACUGCCUAUCAGCCAAUUGUGUAGGCUCCAGAUCCAUCAGCACAGCAAUGAUUGGGAAAGUACUUGAUUAUUCCAUGUUAUCCUCAUUUUAUAAAAUUUUGUCAGUGGAAAAUGGAAGUACCAAUAGUAGUGAUAAGAAGUAUGCAUCUGUCAAGUAAGUGAAAAUACAACCCACUGAAUGGGAGAAAAUGUUUGCAAAUCAUAUAUAAGGCAGUGGUCCACAACCUUUUUGGUACCAGGGACCGGUUUUGUGGAAGACAAUUUUUCCACGGUUGGGGGUGGGGAGGGGGUUGGGGGUGAGUGGGGAUGAUUUCAGGAUGAAACUGCUCCAUCUCAGAUCAUCAGGCAUUAGAUUCUCACAAGGAGCACCCAACCUAGAUCCCUCCCAAGUGCAGUUCCCAGUGGGGUUCACACUCCUGUGAAAAUCUAAUGCUGCCGAAGAUUUGACUGGAGGCAGAGCUCAGGUGCUAAUGCUCCCUUGCCUGCUGCUCACCUCCUGCUGUAUGGCCCCAUUCCCAACCAGUACCUCUCCAUGCAGGUGUGGGGAGGCAAUGCGGUGUGGGGAGGCAAUGCGGUGUGGGGGUGUUGGGAACUGCUAUGAUAAGGAACUUGUAUUCAGAAUAUAUGCAGAACUCUUAUUACUCAAUAAUAAAGAGACAAAUAACCCAAUUGAAAAGUGGGCUAAGGGUUUGAAUAGACAUUUCUCCAAAGAAGAUAAACAAAUGGCCAAUAAGCCCAUGCAAAGAUGCUCAACAUCCUAAUCACCAGGGAUAUCAGAAGGGAAAUGCAAAUCAAACCUGCAAUUAGGUAUUACUUCACACCUACUAGGAUGGCUGUAGCCAAUAAGACAGACAAUAACAAGUGUUGACAAGGAUGUGGAGAAAUUGAAACCUACAUAUAUUGCUGGUAGGAAUGCAAAAUGGUAAAACACUUUGCAAAACAGUGUAUCAAUUCCUCAAAAAAAAUUUUUUUUUUUUUGAGACGGAGUCUCUUGUCACUGAGGCUGGAAUGCAGUGGCAUGAUAUCAGCUCACUGCAACAUCCACCUCGUGGGUUCAAGUGAUUCUCCUGCCUCAGCCUCCCAAGUAGCUGGGAUUACAGGCACCUGCCAUCAUGCCCGGCUAAUUUUUGUAUUUUUAGUACAGACGGGGUUUCACCAUGUUGGCCAGGCUGAUCUUGAUCCUGACCUCAGGUGAUCCACCCACCUCGGCCUCCUAAAGUGUUGGGAUUACAGGCAUGAGCCACCUCACCCAGCCCAAUUCCUCAAAAUUUUAAAAUAGAGUUACUUUAUUAAUCAGCAAUUUCACUCUUAGGUAUCUGCCCAAGAGAAAUGAAACAAUUCAUCCACACAAACACUUUUACAUGAAUGUUAACAGCAGCAUUAUUCACAAUAGCCAAAAGGUGGAAACAGCUCAAAUAUCCAUCAACUGAUGAAAGGAUAAACAAAAUGUGGUAUAUUCACACAAUGAAAUAUUAAUGAUACAAAGGAAGUGCUGACACAUGCUGCAACAUAGAUGAACUUUGAAAAUAUGCUAAAUGAAAGCAGUUACAAAAGACCACAUAAUGCAUGAUUUGAUUUAUGUAAAUGUCCAGAAAGGGCAAAUCCAUAGAUACACUAUAGAAAAUAGAUUAGUCGUUGUCAGAGGCUAAAGAGAGUAGGGAGGAUUGGGAUGGGGAGUGACUUAUGGGUACAGGGUUUCUUUUAGGGGGACAAAGAUAUUUUGGAAUUAGUAGUGAUGGUUGCACAACCUAGUAAAUAUACUAAAAUAUAUGAAAUUGUACAUUUUCAAUGGGUGAAUUAUGUAGUAUACGUGAUUUAUAUCUCAACAAAAAGGAGUUUAAAAAGAAGUAUGUGUAUCAUUGACUCUUUCGAUAUAAACAUAGAAAUCAUUAGACUUAUCGAAAGGGAUGAAUCUUUAGCCUCCAUGGGAUGUUCUUAAGCCUAUUGCUGUUUUUUGAUUUGUGAAGGAAAAUAAUCAAAUUGAAGGUACAUUAGGAAGGACAGCAAACAUAUGAUCAGCGAUUGUGUCUAAAAAUGCAGGUGUAAUUGGACAUGCUGUACCACUUUUUAUUCCCAACAUAAAUUUGUUGUUUGACUUUUGUACUUUUGACAUUAGUAAUAUUUUCUGAAAUAAAUUGUGUAUGGAAGCAGGGGACUGUGUUUACUGUGUCAUGGGGAAGGCAAAUGAUCUCUCAGCCCUCUUCACUUCCCAUUUGUUUAAUGCUGAACCAUCAAGCAAACUUCCUCUAGGGAAUAAUUCAGCUGGUACCAGGAGACUGCACAUAAUUAUUUGGGCCACUGGAAAAUUCUAAUGCCCAUGAAAAAAUAGCUUUUGGUUUAUAGAUCAGUCUUUUGUGAAUUUGGGCAGGAAAAGUCAGCCCUGGAAAGUGGUUUUAUUUUGACCAUAACUAAAUAUGCAAAAAAUAGUAGGAUAAAUAAUGAGAUUAUUAAUAAAUCUCACAAAACUGUAAUUCUAAGGUUUAGCUUUAGUUUGGUUGGUUCAUCAACAGCUCAACAAUUUUGGAGGUCCAAAUCUGUUCUGGUAAGAGCUGGGGAUAAAAUGGUGGAUGAUAUAGACACAGCCUUGCUUGCCCAAAGUCAAGUGGAAAAGUAACAUAACAUAAGAGUGAAUAACAUAAUUAUGCAUUAUUCAUAGAUUCCAUUAUUAUACUCAUUCACAGAUUCCAGAUUUACAAUUUACCUACUCUCUAAAAUGUAUUUGUAAUCUCAAAAAUCAAUGCUCUUGGCCGGGUGCAGUGGCUCACGCCUGUAAUCCCAGCACUUUGGGAGGCCGAGGUGGGUGGAUCACCUGAAGUCAGGAGUUCAAGACCAGCCUAACCAACAUGGUGAAACCCACUCUCUACUAAAAGUACAAAAAUUAGCUGGGCAUGGUGGCGGGCAACUGUAAUCCCAGCUACUCGGGAGGCUGAGGCAGGAGAAUCACUUGAACCCGGGAGGUGGAGGCUGCAGUGAGCCGAGAUCGCACCACUGCACUCCAGCCAGGGUGACAGAGCAAGAUCCUGUC